CCCGCGGCGGGGGCAAGCGGCCGGCCGCCGUGGCCCGCGCCCGGGCUCCCGGCCAGGACGCCGGGACCUGAAGGACAGCGGCGAGGCCCAGGGGCGCGAGAACACGGCCGAGGACAGAGGCCGGGCGGCCGGGGCCCUCCGCUGCUCCCCACCUCCGCGGACAGGCGACGGUCACCCGGCCCGGGCCCCGUCCCAGACGGCCGAGCCACUCGUGCAACCGGUCCUUUGCAACGGGACCUGGAGAAUUGCAGUCCGUCCGACCUGUUGCCUCGCGGUGGCCAAAGGGGACAACAGGGAGGACGCAAUUCCACCGCGGCCACUUGAUUUGCCAGGCCCCGGGCUGCAAGGUACCCAGACAGAAGGAUGGCUCCCUUCUGAGCCAAACCUAAGUCUGUCCCUUUCUCAGGCAAGAGGCCUCUGGGCUUCUCAGCAGAUCUGCCCAGUUCUUCGCAAGACUGCCUCCUGCCUUCUCUUUGGGGCCAGGGGACUGGUGUCUGCCGCCUCCUGCUGUUCCUCUGCUCCUCAGCACCAUCUGCGGUCAUGGUGAAGACACCGAGUUUGCUGGUUCUGCCCUCAUCUCCAGGAUCAUAUGGGAAAAUCUCACCCAGAUGGACUGAGAGUGGCUCAGGAGUCCCUGGCUAUGCUAAUCACAGUGACAAACAGGCCAGGAGAAGCGCAAGGGAUGCCCUUACCAGUUGUCCAUUCUUCAGCUUCCCUGGUAGUGCUGACUGGAGGCCCGUGUUCUCACUGCCUUGGAUGGAAACCUGCAGCAGUGUGACCAACCCAGGGAACAGAGUGGCCCGGCCUCUCACCAUCUGCCCUGUUCAGCUGCCCACUGGAGCCAAGGACCUGAAGGACCAUCUCUGUCUAACCCCAUAGGCACAGGCUGGAAGGGGGCUGCUACUGCCUACCUGUGGGUUCCCCUAGCCCAAGACUGAUGGUUUGCUUCCUUGUGCCAAGUCUCCCAGAGCCCCUAAUCCUGCUGGUGCCUCUCAUCCACCCAGGAACAGCUCUGGGCAGCUGUCAGAUUCUUCCCUGACCCAUCCAAAGCAGGCCCCUUGUGAGGUGACAAGAAAAACCAAAGUCAGGGGCCUCCAGAAAUGGCAGUCCCCAUCCAAAUCCCCUCUGGGCAGCUGCCUCCCUAGCUUCAGCCUCUUCCUAAGCAGCUAGGAAAGGACGAAGGCCCAUAAUCUGGUAUCCUUGCAUGUUUGAGCCAGUGGCAAUGUUCUUGUGUGUGUGUGUGUGUGUGAGUGUGUGACCAUGAGAUGAGUCUGGUAUGGAUGGAACUGGGGGAGCUGCUAGGGUAUCAAUUUUCCCCUGUAUAUGAAGAACUUGGACUAUACCCAUCCACCCCCAACAAUGGGUAUAGUCCCACCCUUUCCAGAGAGAGAUCCCUGACCAGGCCUCAGUUUUGUGUUCCUGCCUUCCUCUGGCCUUCAGUAGUUAGAGCUUCAGCUUUUCUCCUCCCCUCAUGGCUGCGCCCUCCCCUGUGGGGCCUUGCUGUGUGAUGGGGUCUCCAUGCACUUUAUUUAUUGGCAGUCUGUGUUCCAGGAAGUAGAAGCUCAACAAAUGUUGAGACACCAUCAGGGCGACUCUAGUUUUCUGUGUGAUGAAAUGCACUGCCAGCAGUCUUGUCAGGAAUGGGGUCUUGUUUUGCUGUAGUAAUACCUUGUUGGUUCUUCAUAUGUAAAGAAAUUCCUUGUGUUCUGUAU
RNA transcript from Dipodomys spectabilis (banner-tailed kangaroo rat), 1712 nucleotides. It is a transcript of the gene named small integral membrane protein 10-like protein 2A, with no coding region annotated. The transcript has 3 exons. The record is from RefSeq and is a predicted model, not a curated record. NCBI's taxonomy places the organism in Eukaryota, Metazoa, Chordata, Mammalia, Rodentia, Heteromyidae.